This 493-nucleotide ribosomal RNA is filed under the name uncultured bacterium. RNAcentral's name for it is "bacterial SSU rRNA". It matches the Rfam family "Bacterial small subunit ribosomal RNA", at positions 28 to 507 of the family's 1533-position model. The record is from RNAcentral.
GAUGAACGCUAGCUACAGGCUUAACACAUGCAAGUCGAGGGGCAGCAUGAACUUAGCUUGCUAAGUUUGAUGGCGACCGGCGCACGGGUGAGUAACACGUAUCCAACCUUCCGUUUACUCAGGGAUAGCCUUUUCGAAAGAAAAGAUUAAUACCUGAUAGUAUGGUGAGAUUGCAUGAUAACACCAUUAAAGAUUUAUUGGUAAACGAUGGGGAUGCGUUCCAUUAGGUAGUAGGCGGGGUAACGGCCCACCUAGCCGACGAUGGAUAGGGGGUUCUGAGAGGAAGGUCCCCCACAUUGGAACUGAGACACGGUCCAAACUCCUACGGGAGGCAGCAGUGAGGAAUAUUGGUCAAUGGGCGAGAGCCUGAACCAGCCAAGUAGCGUGAAGGAUGAAGGUCCUACGGAUUGUAAACUUCUUUUAUACGGGAAUAAAGUAUCCUACGUGUAGGAUUUUGUAUGUACCGUAUGAAUAAGCAUCGGCUAACUCCGUG